RNAcentral lists this ribosomal RNA (500 nucleotides) under uncultured bacterium. RNAcentral describes it as "partial 16S ribosomal RNA". It matches the Rfam family "Bacterial small subunit ribosomal RNA", at positions 28 to 523 of the family's 1533-position model. The record is from RNAcentral.
GAUGAACGCUAGCGGCAGGCCUAAUACAUGCAAGUCGAACGGUAACAUGAGUAGCAAUACUUGAUGACGAGUGGCGCACGGGUGCGUAACGCGUAUGCAAUCUACCUUUAACAGGUGAAUAGCCCGAAGAAAUUCGGAUUAAAACACCAUAGUAUAAUUAGUUGGCCUCAAUUGAUUAUUAAAACUCCGGUGGUUAAAGAUGAGCAUGCGUGACAUUAGCUAGUUGGUAGGGUAACGGCUUACCAAGGCAACGAUGUCUAGGGGAUCUGAUAGGAUUAACCCCCACACUGGUACUGAGACACGGACCAGACUCCUACGGGAGGCAGCAGUAAGGAAUAUUAGACAAUGGUGGCAACACUGAUCCAGCCAUGCCGCGUGAAGGAUGAAGGCCCUAUGGGUUGUAAACUUCUUUUGUACGGGAAAAAACCUCUUUACGUGUAAAGAGCUGAUUGUACUGUAAGAAUAAGGAUCGGCUAACUCCGUGCCAGCAGCCGCGGUAA